GAUAAGAGACUUAAGUAAGAUCAGAUAUAUCGAUGUGACAAGUUGGGGCAUCUAAUCAGAGAUUGUCCUCAACUCAGGGAUCGGAUGAGGGCUAUUGCAGUGACGACCAAUAGUGAGUUAGAGGAUGAUGUCCUAAAGAUAUUUGAUGAGGUAUCUAGUUCUUUUCAGUAUGGAUUUUAAAUUAUGUAUGCACUUAUUAUGU
RNAcentral lists this long non-coding RNA (202 nucleotides) under Elaeis guineensis (African oil palm). RNAcentral's name for it is "long non-coding RNA (EGUI_LNC027517)". The record is from RNAcentral. Lineage: Eukaryota; Viridiplantae; Streptophyta; Magnoliopsida; Arecales; Arecaceae.